This 100-nucleotide Y RNA is filed under the name Propithecus coquereli (Coquerel's sifaka). RNAcentral's name for it is "Y RNA (ENSPCOG00000000734.1)". It matches the Rfam family "Y RNA". Rfam says of the family: Y RNAs are components of the Ro ribonucleoprotein particle (Ro RNP), in association with Ro60 and La proteins. The Y RNAs and Ro60 and La proteins are well conserved, but the function of the Ro RNP is not known. The record is from Rfam by way of RNAcentral. Lineage: Eukaryota; Metazoa; Chordata; Mammalia; Primates; Indriidae.
AGCUGGUCCCAGCAGUGGUGUUUACAACUAAUUGAUCACCACCAGUUACAGAUUCGUUUGUUCCUUCUCCACUCUCACUGCUUCACUUGACCAGCCUGUG